Molecule: ribosomal RNA, 276 nt
Filed under: Triticum aestivum (bread wheat)
Lineage: Eukaryota; Viridiplantae; Streptophyta; Magnoliopsida; Poales; Poaceae
Description: partial small subunit ribosomal RNA
Source: RNAcentral
AUGCGAAAAAAGUCGGUUCCCAUUGCUACUUGGGGAGGGCUAAAUUUGGUCCAGGAUUGGUGGAAUGCGACGGUUCUUCGCCGUGGCCACAGGAGGAAGGCGGUCUCCUCGCUGCUCAUGCUAGUGGCACAUGAGGUUAGGAAAGAGAGAAAUGCUAGGGUUUUCUGCAACAAGGCAUCGAUGCCCUAUAUUGUCAUUGAUAACAUUAAAGGGGAGGUAAAGAAUUGUGUUCUCCGCAUGGCAAAAUAUUUGAGCUCAAUCAUGUCACGAGAGUAG